Molecule: ribosomal RNA, 468 nt
Filed under: uncultured bacterium
Lineage: Bacteria
Description: partial 16S ribosomal RNA
Rfam family: Bacterial small subunit ribosomal RNA
Source: RNAcentral
GACGAACGCUGGCGGCGUGCUUAACACAUGCAAGUCGAACGGAAAGGCCCUGCUUUUGUUGGUUGCUCGAGUGGCGAACGGGUGAGUAACACGUGAGUAACCUGCCCUUGACUUUGGGAUAACUUCAGGAAACUGGGGCUAAUACCGGAUAGGAGCUCCUGCUGCAUGGUGGGGGUUGGAAAGUUUCGGCGGUUGGGGAUGUACUCGCGGCUUAUCAGCUUGUUGGUGGGGUAGUGGCUUACCAAGGCUUUGACGGGUAGCCGGCCUGAGAGGGUGACCGGCGACAUUGGGACUGAGAGACGGCACAGACUGCUAAGGGAGGCAGAAGGGGGGAAUAUUGAAGAAUGGGCGGAAGCCUGAUGCAGAAACGCCGCGGGCGGGAUGACUGUCUUAGGGUGGUAAACCGAUUUCGCAAGUGACGAAGCGUGAGUGAAGGUAAUGGGUAAAGAAGCACCGGCUAACUACGUG